ACAAUCAUGACAAGCGAAGGAACAAAUAAAUAGUAAUCCCACAAUUUUUACAACUGCAUUCCACUUUAAUUUGGUAUGGACAUGCAUUUUUAUCCUUGGAGUACUUUGGAUUUUAAGUGGGAAUCAUUGGUUCUUUUCUUCUUAAUAUUUUACUUCUUAUAAUUACAAAUACCAAUUUUAGAGAAUUGAGCUCGUACUUAAAAUUCAAUUGAGUAUGAAGCCACUGCCCAUUGUGUGAAAGAAACAAUUAUAACAUUGUACUCUAACAAAUCACACAUAUAGAGAAAUGUUAUUUUCGAGUCUCCUUAACCUACUGAUCUUUUUUUAGAUAUAUGAAACUUGCAUUUGUUUUCUUAAUUCUUCUGCAAUGCAGGUGAUAUUCCUAAUGGUUGCUGCUGACGCUAAAAAAAUUACUCCUGAAGCACUAGAAGUGCCCUCUCUAUGACGCAUCACUCACUGGAUCCAGAUGGGCAACAUUCCGCUUCAAGAUUAAAGAGUACCGUUUUUGCAUGCUAUCAUUGCUUAUCCAAGAGUAAUCUAGCAUGUGCCUAAUAUAUAUACAUGAUUGUUGCACCAUCACAAGAUUUCCAUUAUAUACAUGGGCAUAACUUUCUUUACUGUGAAUUAAUCGACACGAUGCUUCUGUUUUAAGGAAUGGCAAUGCUAAAUUCUACAGUGGUACUCUCUACUCUGUCGAAUGUUUACAAACACCAUAAAGCUAGAGAUCUAUUGUGGAAACUUUUCUUUCUUUUGUUUGUUAUAACUUCUUAGUGUAAAAAUAAAUAUGGCUUGUCCAUUACGAAACAAAUAUGUAAGAUUUAUUACUUUUCAAAGUUGAAUUGUUCCUGGCAAAUUACACAUGAGAGUGCAUACAAUUGAGUUGUGCUGACUUGCUGUUUCUAAAAUGAUAAGCUGGAGCUGGAGUUACAUAUGAGAGUAGAGAUAAUUAAGUUGUGCUCCUGACUUGAUUAACAAAAGCUGCAGAAGAAAGGGACAAAAUACCAAAGAGCUGAAAUUUUGAAGAAAGGUGGAAGUAGGGAACUACACAACUUGAUUCAAGGUUACGAAGGGAAAAAGGGCAUUGAUUGAGCAGGAGAAAACAAUAAUGGGCCGAGGCAAAGAUAUAGUGCUCAGUUAGUAAAGAGAUAUGUGGGAAGUUGAGCAGCGGGAUGCAAAUGGAAUUUUUGUGACUCACUGAAGGUGAGCAAAACUUCAGAAAAGAAAUUGCAACAGAAGUAGAGCCUCAUCACCAAGAGAACAUAGGGAUUUUAAGUUUUUUGUAGCCUGCACCGGAGACUGUAGAGUUAAGUUUCUACAUCUCAGUGUACAGUUUAACUAUAUCAGGUUAUUUCCUAUGUAGUAAAUAUUUGCUUUUGCCAUUGCUGAUCAUGUCCUUCUCUCUGUGCUUGGAAGCAUAAACUUACUUAGCGAUCCUUUUCUGUUAGGCUAAACUUACAUCCUUCUGCUAAUAGUUUAGUGAUCUAAUGAUUAUAAUGAUUAUUCAAAAGGGACGUUGCAUGUUCCUAGAUGCAUAGCCUUUCUUAUAUAUGUUUUCAUAACACUGGAUUUUUUUAGGGAUAACACUGGGAUUUAAGUUUUUUUGUUAAAUUCUGAAACUGAAAUCCGAAUAAAAAAUAUCUUGAAAGACCAGCAUAAUGGCACUUCAAAUAAAUGCUAAUCUACACUCACACUGCAGGCUGGUGCCCGUUCUUCUGGUGAUUUGGUCAAAGCUACUACUAAGCAAAGAUAUUUUGCAUGCUAUAAGAACAUGUAGGUUCAUAUCGGGGAGCCAUACGAUCCUGCUAAGAAUUUUGAAUCACUUUGAUAUAUUAACAACAACAUCGUUUAAAAUCCAAACAAAUGGCAUACUCCCUGUUAAUUCAAAUGCAGAUACAAACUUUAAGCUUUUCUAAAUAAGGAAAUAUAUUUACAGUCCAAGUGUAGUAAUCUGGGAGUUUGAAAUUAUUUCCCCUUUUUACAAAGCAAGGGACAUUGAAGUUAAUAUUCACAUACAUGGCAGGGAAGGAUUGAUCUCUCUGCUUAGCAAUGAAUUUGUAGCACCCCAUGAAAACAAAUAUUGUGCAGACCCUAUGGCGUCAUUGUGUUAGUAGGCCGUAUUGGCGUUGCAAUCUCCUCUUGGACUAACUAAUGCAUAGGUUAUAAAGCACAUCAAACCUUUUGUAGACCAACAAAUCCAACAUGCUAUGUAGAUCUUGUGUGUACGGAUUAAUCUGAUUGAUGACUGAUGGAAAGCUUCAGGACUUGUAUUCCCCCCUCACCCCAUAUCUGUAGUUUCCUAUGAUUCACUUUCAAAUCUGGAUAUUCUCUUAUAUAUUAACUACUGCAUUGGAGGAAAUUAAAUCACUUGCAAUCUACAAUUAAAGAAUAAUUAAGUGGGACCUUGAGAAACAAUAGUUUGCCAUGGUCUGCAAUGGGGCAGAGCCAAAGAGUUUGACCAGAAUAAAAGUCUGGACAACAAAAUUCAAUGGAGAGAGAUAUCCAUCUGUUACCCACAAAUGAUUAUUUUUUUGUUAGUGCCUCUUCUUCUUUCUUGCCCAUUAUUUAGUUAUAACGUGACAAAAUAAACAUGUUGAUUAUACCCGACUUGCACUGAACAUGAAAUUUUUGUUUAUGCACAAACAUGCGAGUUGUGUAGUACUGUAGGUUGACACUUCAUCGAAACAUAACACACAAUUACAUGUGCGUGUAUAAGGAGAAACUAUACCUGCAGCACACAUCCAUCUAUCUCGGUUUAUGGGAGAACUGGCAAAUUUAUGGUAAUGAAGCAUGUAGCUGAGGUGUGAGACAAAUCUUCCGUAGAGUGUUAAUGUUGUUAGUAGUAAUUAACUUGUCUCCUAGGAGCUAACUGCAGCAACUUACCUUGAUUGUUAGAUACAGUAUAGCAUUAUUCAUCUUCAUCCAUGAUUGAUUCUUCUGUUUGCUGCAAUUCUUUGACAAUUCUUAGCAUCACACAACCAAAGGUGAGAAGCAAAAAUUUGAAGCACGGAACAAAAAAUUCACAAACCAAUGCAUUUAGUAACCAUCGUGGUUCUUACAGGUCCUUUGCAAUCCAAAUUCCAGUUCUAUGACUUGCAAGGAAGGAUGAAGUCCAUGUCAUGAAAAUUUUAAUAUGUGGUCGCUGCCUCCUCCAGCCAUGGAUUUCAAAGGUACGCAGAUUCACCUACAACAUGCAUAUGGGAGAACUUGCAGAUCUGAAGGAAUCAAGUAUCUAGCUAAGGUGCUUGUAGCCACGAUCAGUGCUCCAUCGAGCAAUUUCUUAGGGCUGCACAGAUGCAACAACCUGGUAGAUAGGAUCAUCCUCUAUCAAAAAUAGCCAAAGGAAGAUGUCAGCAUCAGAGAUCCCAUAUAGGCCAGGAUAAUGUCAAAAUAUCUUGGCAUGGGCACGUGGCUCAUAGCCUGAACUUGAGACCGUUUACUCCAUGCUCGUGGUGGAGGCCUAGUCUCGACGGGGGCAUGGCAGUGGCGUGCGUUAGGAUUGGAUUCCGUCGAAGACCUAGGAUUGAUUUUCUAGCUGAGGCUGCGUGCGUGAGGGCUGGAGAGUCGGUUGUAGCCAUGGGAUUCUGGCGGCAGCAGCGUGCGUGAGGGCAGGGGAGUCUGCAGCCCUAUUAUGUUUUUCUUCUUUCAACGAUGGACUCAGGUAAUGGGAAAACUAAUCUAUGGCAUGGCCCUGUAUAUUUUGUCUUCUUUUCACGAUGGAGUCAAGGUUUCUAAAAAAAUUAUGGCAUUGCUGAAUCGUAGAGGCAGGUGAAAGCUAUUUUGACGCAGCAUAUGCUUUAGUAGGAGUUAUCUCUACCUCUCUAUCUCUACCUAAUCUCUACCUAAUAAUAAAGCAAAUUGGGUUUCUGCUUGUCCGUCAUUAGCAUUUUUGCUAAAAAGCCCCUCCCUUUUUUAGUAUUUAACCCGCAGUACAAUUUAAAGUCUGUUUCUUCUUGAGAUAAUGAUUCAUUUUUUGCAAAAAGGACCCGGGCACCACCACCACAACCCCGCCUUAUCCACUGCCGGUCUUCACAAACGGGCAGCGGCGCGCUUGCCAUGGCGUCCGCUCCGCCCGAGCCCAGUAAUGGGGCGAGGCGUCGCGGCGGCGUUCCUGCACGCCUUGUCGGCCUUGGAGCUAGCCUUGGCGGGGGCGGGCCGAGGCGUCGCGGCGGAGGACGAUAAGCAGACGGGCACGCGCCACCGGCGCGCUUGCCGUGGGCGUCCGCUUUGCCCGAGCCCAGUAGUGGGGCGAGGGGUCGCGCCGGCGUUCCUACACGCCUUGUCGACCUUGAAGCUGGCCUUGGCGGGCCGAGGCGUCGCGGCGGAGGACGACAAGGCGGCCGGCGUGCUCUGUUGGGGCGACGCGUCGCGGCGCUCUGGCUCCAGUAGAUGACGGCAGAGAGCCAGGUGUGGCUUUGUGUCGCCGGCCACCGUGCCAGGCUGGAAUAGCUGCUGCAGCCCCCCUUAUUUGAUACUUGCAUUUGUGGCAAGCACCUUGCUGUUCUGAGUAAUGGUUGAUAUCUUAUAUUUAGCCGAGAAGCUGAAAACUUACGAGUUGGAAAACCUUCUAGAUAUACCUAAAAAGACCUUGAAGAUAUCUUCUACUAGACUGGACGAGCUGAUUGACUGGCGAUGGAGAUGCAGCAGUGACCUGCAAUUCUUUCUGCUGUGGAUGGUUCAUUUUGAUAUCUUUUUUAUAUCUGACAAGACACAAGAAAACAACAUAUCUAUCCUGUUAUAUUUACCACUAUCAUCUACAGUGAGUGCUAAGUUGCCCAUAAAUUUUAGUUGACUUCUGUUCAGAGUGAUCUGAAAAAUAGAUAGCAAAAAAGAUUAGUGGGUAUUACAUUUAGAUUAGCUACAUUUGGGCAAAUAAAUGAGUAGAAGUCAAUUUUGUUUGCUUGAUGUUUCACUUCUUUGAUCUCUUCAUCAUUCUCAUUUUGUUUCAUUGCUUACCAUUUGUUCGAAAUUUUUUCUAGCAGUGGCAAGCAUGGUUAGGGCGAGCAACGAGGGUUCCUAUAGUGCAUAACCAUUUCGAGUCGCCCAAGUUCUAAAGAGAGAUCAGAAGUGCCAGCUACUGAAGCAAAAAAAAGGACCUGAUACACAUUGUAAUCAAUGACUGCUGAUAUACCUGAUGCAUUUCUUCAUGAUGGUCGAUUUCCUUUCACCGGAUCUUACAUGUUUAAUUAUGUGUGCUCGGAACCAAAAACUGAUUGAGAUCUUCAGUUCUUACUUGCAGAUGUUCUUUUAUUCAGAGUAAUUCAGUUUCCAGUCUCUAUGUAUUAAUCAAAUUAUGGGUUAUUUUCAACCAUAUAGACUUUUAUUAUAUGUUCAGUUAUGCUUCCAUGGGUUUUGCAUAUGUAUUAACAAAACAACCAGACUGCUAUUACGUAUAUAGUUGGAUCAAAGGGUGUACAAUUAAUUUGCUCUGACGAAAGGAAUGAGUAGGCAGCUAGCAGAAUGGGAGGACAAUCAUGACAAGCGAACGAACAGAUAAAUAGUAAUCCCACAAUUUUUACAACUGCAUUCCACUUUAAUUUGGUAUGGACAUGCAUUUUUAUCCUUGGAGUACUUUGGAUUUUAAGUGGGAAUCAUUGGUUCUUUUCUUCUUAAUAUUUUACUUCUUAUAAUUACAAAUACCAAUUUUAGAGAAUUGAGCUCGUACUUAAAAUUCAAUUGAAUAUGAAGCCACUGCCCAUUGUGUGAAAGAAACAAUUAUAACAUUGUACUCUAACAAAUCACACAUAUAGAGAAAUGUUAUUUUCGAGUCUCCUUAACCUACUGAUCUUUUUUUAGAUAUAUGAAACUUUCAUUUGUUUUCUUAAUUCUUCUGCAAUGCAGGUGAUAUUCCUUGGUUGCUGCUGACGCUAAAAAAAUUACUCCUGAAGCACUAGAAGUGCCCUCUCUAUGGCGCAUCACUCACUAGAUCCAGAUGGGCAACAUUCCGCUUCAAGAUUAAAGAGUACAGUUUUUGCAUGCUAUCAUUGCUUAUCCAAGAGUAAUCUACCAUGUGCCUAAUUGUUAUGACCGGCCAUGUCUAUGGCCGCCGCAGGCCCAACAGGCAGUCUUAGGCCCGCAAGUUACCUU
RNAcentral lists this long non-coding RNA (6084 nucleotides) under Triticum aestivum (bread wheat). Its description in RNAcentral is "long non-coding RNA (TAES_LNC001017)". Lineage: Eukaryota; Viridiplantae; Streptophyta; Magnoliopsida; Poales; Poaceae. The record is from RNAcentral.